CCACAUAGUUAAACUACAUAAUGCUGGGGUGCAACACUACCCACAUAGUUAAACUACAUAAUGAUGGGGUGGUCCACUACCCACAUAGUUAAACACUUCAGGACAGGUAUAUUCUUGUCCCAGACAGUUUGUAAUAGACCACUAAUACUUCAGGACAGGUGAUUCUUGUCCCAGACAGUUUGUAAUAGACCACUAAUACUUCAGGACAGGUGAUUCUUGUCCCAGACAGUUUGUAAUAGACCACUAAUACUUCAGGACAGGUGAUUCUUGUCCCAGACAGUUUGUAAUAGACCACUAAUACUUCAGGACAGGUGGAUUCUUGUCCCAGACAGUUUGUAAUAGACCACUAAUACUUCAGGACAGGUGAUUCUUGUCCCAGACAGUUUGUAAUAGACCACUAAUACUUCAGGACAGGUGGAUUCUUGUCCCAGACAGUUUGUAAUAGACCACUAAUACUUCAGGACAGGUGGAUUCUUGUCCCAGACAGUUUGUAAUAGACCACUAAUACUUCAGGACAGGUGGAUUCUUGUCCCAGACAGUUUGUAAUAGACCACUAAUACUUCAGGACAGGUGAAUUCUUGUCCCAGACAGUUUGUAAUAGACCACUAAUACUUCAGGACAGGUGAAUUCUUGUCCCAGACAGUUUGUAAUAGACCACUAAUACUUCAGGACAGGUGAAUUCUUGUCCCAGACAGUUUGUAAU
Non-coding RNA from Oncorhynchus mykiss (rainbow trout), 703 nucleotides. The record is from RefSeq and is a predicted model, not a curated record. NCBI's taxonomy places the organism in Eukaryota, Metazoa, Chordata, Actinopteri, Salmoniformes, Salmonidae.